RNAcentral lists this ribosomal RNA (481 nucleotides) under uncultured bacterium. RNAcentral describes it as "bacterial SSU rRNA". It matches the Rfam family "Bacterial small subunit ribosomal RNA", at positions 1 to 507 of the family's 1533-position model. The record is from RNAcentral.
ACGAGUUUGAUCAUGGCUCAGAGUGAACGCUGGCGGCGUGCUUAACACAUGCAAGUCGAACGGAUGAAAUAAGCUUGCUUAUUUCGUUAGUGGCGCACGGGUGAGUAAUGUAUAGCUAACCUGCCCUUUAGUGGGGGACAACAGUUGGAAACGACUGCUAAUACCCCAUAUUCCUUCUUAUCAUAAGGUAAGUUGGGAAAGAUUUAUUGCUAAAGGAUGGGGCUUUAUGGUAUCAGCUAGUUGGUGGGGUAACGGCCUACCAAGGCUAUGACGUCUACCUGGUCUGAGAGGAUGAUCAGGCACACUGGAACUGAGACACGGUCCAGACUCCUACGGGAGGCAGCAGUGGGGAAUAUUGCACAAUGGAGGAAACUCUGAUGCAGCAACGCCGCGUGGAGGAUGACGCAUUUCGGUGUGUAAACUCCUUUUAUAAGGGAAGAUAAUGACGGUACCUUAUGAAUAAGCACCGGCUAACUCCGUG